UCUUUGAAUAAAGGUAGCUGGAGAGCAGGUCUACAUUAUGCUGGGAGGGGAAGCCUGCAGCCGCUUCAGUUCUGUAUGCACCUGAGAAGUCUUUCAGUGAGGAAAACCCAACCAAUAAAAAAGCUGGGAGGGCACGCUGGAAUUCACAAUUUUCGUCUUCCUCAGCAUCACUCAACAACACAGCGUCUGCAGUGCUUUCUGAACUACCAUGGCUUCUCUCUCAGCAGCAGACAAAAGAAAAGUCCUCAAGACACUUUGCUGUCUCAGGUGAAAAACGCUGUGGGAAAGAAAAUACGUGGAAGAGGAGAGCAUCCCUGAUCCAAGAACGUCCUUGCCAUGCGUUGCAAGACUGCGUGUUGUGAAGCACAUUACUCCCGCGAUGCUAGUACAAGUGCAGCUCUAAACACAGUGUCAACCUUUUAGAAAGGCAAAAAAGGUAAAGUAGUAGUAUAAAUAAUAGAGCUAACAAAAAAAAAACCCUAAGAAGUGGGGACAGCGCAGAAAGUUCCAGCAGGGAAAUGAAUGCCACAACGCAGCCGGCGGUCUGAUCAAAGUUAUUAACCACUGAGUUGAGAAAAUUAAGCGGUCAGUGCCAGACUGGCACUUUUGUCAUACCCUGCCUGGGUUUUCUAGGUUAUUCGCACACGGUCUAUGCCACGGCGCUGCGGAUUCCCAGCGUCGCUCCCAUCUGUAUCCAGCCGCUCAGCCCAGCGUGUUCAGUCCCGACGGAGCAAGCUGGCCAAUGCCACAGCGUUGACGAGGAUUUUCCCAGAAGCGGGAACUGCCAGCGCUCCAUGAAAGUCUGAAUUUUCACAGAUUUUAAUGUGGUGGAAAGAAAACAACGCGUGUGGGUGUUGCUCGCCCAGGGCAGCUCUGGCCUGGCCGUGUUCUUGCACUUUUUCAGGGCUUGGUGAAUUACCGUGAGCGAGCUUGGAGCUGACAAACCGCAGAUCAYUGCGGCACCCGAAAAAGAAAAAAAUCCAGCUUUUCUGACCAAGCUGGAAGCAAAAGUGGGUGAUGUUCACUGCUGCCCUGCCCGAACCCUCCAGCUGCAGCAUCUGCUSUCUGCUGGGCAGAGGCCCUAAAGGGGCCAGAGGGGAUCAGGGCCACGGUGCUCCCCAGCCACGGGACUCACUGGCAGAGCAAAUUCCCAGAGGAUGUUAAAGAUGCUCCCGCGGGCGAGGGGUGGCCAGGGCAUCGCAGGAGAGGGGCACCGGCUUCGCCCAGGCUCGGUGGGACCGCGCAGACCUCUCGCCUGCCUUCAGCUUUUUCUUCUGUGGAUAGGAUAAUUAGGAUUUCUUCUUUCCUGCCCCUAUAC
Molecule: long non-coding RNA, 1318 nt
Filed under: Dromaius novaehollandiae (emu)
Lineage: Eukaryota; Metazoa; Chordata; Aves; Casuariiformes; Dromaiidae
Description: lncRNA (ENSDNVG00000013597.1)
Source: RNAcentral